AGUGAACGCUGGCGGUAGGCCUAACACAUGCAAGUCGAACGGCAGCACAGUAAGAGCUUGCUCUUCCGGGUGGCGAGUGGCGGACGGGUGAGGAAUACAUCGGAAUCUACUUUUUCGUGGGGGAUAACGUAGGGAAACUUACGCUAAUACCGCAUACGACCUACGGGUGAAAGCAGGGGAUCUUCGUACCUUGCGCGAUUGAAUGAGCCGAUGUCGGAUUAGCUAGUUGGCGGGGUAAAGGCCCACCAAGGCGACGAUCCGUAGCUGGUCUGAGAGGAUGAGCAGCCACACUGGAACUGAGACACGGUCCAGACUCCUACGGGAGGCAGCAGUGGGGAAUAUGGGACAAUGGGCGCAAGCCUGAUCCAGCCAUACAGCGUGGGUGAAGAAGGCCUUCGGGUUGUAAAGCCCUUUUGUUGGGAAAGAAAAGCAGCAGGUUAAUACCCCGCUGUUCUGACGGUACCCAAAGAAUAAGCACCGGCUAACUUCGUG
Molecule: ribosomal RNA, 492 nt
Filed under: uncultured bacterium
Lineage: Bacteria
Description: partial 16S ribosomal RNA
Rfam family: Bacterial small subunit ribosomal RNA
Source: RNAcentral